This 329-nucleotide unclassified non-coding RNA is filed under the name soil metagenome. Its description in RNAcentral is "partial contains 5.8S ribosomal RNA, internal transcribed spacer 2, and large subunit ribosomal RNA". The stretch from base 1 to 120 matches the Rfam family "5.8S ribosomal RNA", at positions 35 to 154 of the family's 154-position model. The record is from RNAcentral.
GAUGAAGAACGUAGCGAAAUGCAAUAAGUAAUGUGAAUUGCAGAAUUCAGUGAAUCAUCGAAUCUUUGAACGCACAUUGCGCCCCCUGGUAUUCCGGGGGGCAUGCCUGUUCGAGCGUCAUUACAACCCUCAAGCUCUGCUUGGUAUUGGGCCCCGCCAGUUCUGGCGGGCCCUAAAGUCAGUGGCGGUGCCUUCCGGCUCCGAGCGUAGUAAUUCUUCUCGCUCUGGAGACCCGGUUGUGUGCUUGCCAACAACCCCCAAUUUUUUAAGGUUGACCUCGGAUCAGGUAGGGAUACCAGCUGAACUUAAGCAUAUCAAUAAGCGGAGGA